AUCAAAGAUUAUGUGCUGUGUUAUUGUCAAGUUAUGGAGUGGUGGUGGAAGUUGAAUGUGGGGUAGUUUGUUUUUGUUAAUUAUUGUAUCUUCAGAUGUCUUGUAAAUAACGGGCUGUCGGAAGCCUAUAUUCAAGCAUUAUGGUUGAACCGGAACCAUUUUUUUCAGCAAAUUCUUAAAACCAAAUGUGUGUUCAGAUGAUAUAUUUUAAGGUAUACAAAAAAUUCUGUCUAGUUCAGGUGUUCCAGCACAUAGAAAGAACAUACGCAUGUUAGACGACUGAGUCCGUAUAAUACUCUGCCGAUAACAUAUUUCCGAAGUGCUGAACAUACCAUUACAGACCUGGGAUUUAGGCUUUCAUAGGAAUAAUGGAAUUCACAUCUGAAAGCGUUGAGAAAGCUGUGACAGUAUUUUACACAUCUCGCACUUCAGACCAAGCAGAGGCACAUCGUUGGUUAACUGAAGCUCAGGCAUCUACUACAGCAUGGAAAUUUGUGUGGGAGCUGUUGGAUCCGUCAAAGCUAACGGAAGUGCAGUUUUUUGGUGCUAUUACAUUGCAUUCGAAGAUAGUGAAGUGGUGGCAUGAAAUUCCUAUUGAUCAGUAUACUCCUCUGAGGAACCAGAUUUUAGGUUCCAUUGCCUCUCAUUGCAGUGGUCCAAAAAUAGUUCUCAGUAAGCUGUGUGCAGCUCUCUCUGCUUACAUUAUUAAUGUUACGCCUGAGCAUUGGCCCAAUCCCAUCAAUGAACUUAUACAGACAUUUCUGACUCCUUCCACAACUGUCCCAGCCGAACGAACAGCUUGGAUUCUGAUGGAAAUUCUUACCAUGCUACCAGAUGAACUGAAUAAUUCUCGUAUUGGUGCCCAACAGAAAGGAGCUGUACUGGCAUGUCUUCGCGAUAGUGUUCAUAGAGUGGUGGAAGUGGUAAGACACUGUCUUUCUGAUGCUAGUUUUGAAAAUGCAAAUGAAGUAAAAGAGCAUGCUGCAUCAUGUGCAGUAUCUUGGCUGAGAAUAGGAAUGCCAAUUGCCGCAUGUGAAGGCUUGGCUUUGGAUUUAUUAAACAUGGUGUUACAAAAUGCAACCAGCGAUGAUUAUACCGAAAGUUCACAGAGUCUCAUAGAAGCUGCCCUAAACUGCCUCGAGUCCUUGGUUACGCACCCUGAUACACAUCUAAACCCAAAACAUGUCCAGCGCCUCAUGGAAGAGAUUUUGAAGUUAGAAGUUUUGUUGGGUCCUAAAUGGCAUUCUGCUGAUGAAGUUGUAACAAGUAAAAUAUACAGGCUGUUUGUAGGAAUGGGGGAAUGCCACUCUAAAUUGAUUCUACGCCUAUUAUUACAACCAGGCAGCUCUAAAGUGUUGGGCAGCAAAAUCGUCGAAAAUAUUCUGCGUGCUACCAGUAUUCAAGGUGUCUAUCCAGUAGAAGAAUGUAUAAGUGUACAUUCAUUAGGGUUUUGGUACAUUUUACAGGAAGAUGUGCAGCCCAUGGAGGGAGAUGAGAGGACUGAUUGUAUAACUGUGCUUUCACCAAUAUACUGCACAUUGGUUGAAGUAUUGCUGAAAAAAUCUGCUCUUCCACCUGAUAUAGACGAAUGGAACAGUGACGACCGAGAGAAACUGAGAUGGUAUAGGCAAGAUGUUGCCGACACUCUAAUGUAUUGCUAUCAGAUACUACAUGAUCAAAUCCUGGAGUUACUCCUUCAUGACCUUUCUGCAAGAGCUACAGAAUUUGAAGAGUCGUGGCAGCCUGUUGAAGCAAAUUUGCAUGCUUGGAUGGCUAUUGCAGAAUUGGUGCCAAAUGUGAAACCACAGAUUGGGUCAUUUUUUAUGAUUCUACAAAACAUACCGAUUAGCAAGAGUAAUAUAAAAGUUUUUAAUGCAGCAAUUGACUGUAUGGGUGCAUAUGCAGACUGGAUUAACAUCAAUCCAUCUUUCUUGUCAUAUGUCAUUCCCACUGUCAUGUCGGGCUUGGAGAACACUGAAUCAGCACCUUCUUCCUCAAUGGCUUUGAAAGAUUUGUCAAGGGACUGCCAGUUAACAAUUCAGCAGUAUGCAGAUAAUAUCAUCAGAUGCAUUCAGGCAGCCAUUAUCAGUGGAAGUCUAGGACAUGCUGAAAAUAUUAGACUUAUGUAUGCCUUGGGUCGUUUGCUGUCACCAAUGCCACUGGAGAAGAUAAUGAUGUAUUUGAAUGAAAUACUUGUUCCUUGUGUUAGAGAAUUGGAGAUCCUGGCAAAUUCUGAGGAUAAAGGAAUGCAGACCUAUAGUGACAUCUUGCUGAGACUUAAGAUGAUGAGCACAAUUUUUGCAACUCUAGACACCAGUGCUGUGAGAGGAGGAGCUCUAAAGUCUGAUGAUCCUCAGCCUGUUCUUCUCAUUUUGGAGAAAGUUUUUCCAGUUUUGGAAACUAUAACAUGUAAAUGGUGUACUGAUGAAGAAAUUAUGAAGGCAAUGUGUACGCUGCUAAAACAAGCUGUGUCAACACUGCUCGAGAAAUUUGAAAUAGUUUUACCACCUGUUGUGAACAUGCUUAUGAAAAGCUUUCGUGUUCGACCUCAACCAUCGGUUCUUGAACUGUUGCAGCAGAUUGUGAUCCUGUUUGGCAGAGAUACAGAACAUACACAGAUGAUUCAUUCACUUGUCACAGACAUUUGCAGGAUAUCAAUGACUUUCUGCUUUUCUUCUCCAUCCACAUCAGAACAUUGUGAUGUGAUAGAAUCAUUUUUUAACCUUCUGUCACAACUUAUAAAGAAAAUUCCUAAGCUGUUCCUUAUGAUGGAUGUCGAGGAAGUGAAGGGGUUCUUCAGGAGUGGUAUUGAAAGCUUGCAGCUACCUGAGACUCCUGUGCUGAAAUCUAGUGCAACAUUCCUUAAAUGUUUUAUUAAACAAAGUUGGGAGUAUGUACACUUCUCUACCAUUGUCAAUGACUGUGGCGAAGCACUAGUACAGAGAAUUCUUUUGUGCAUAGGAGGAAACUGCCCAAGAACCAUGAUAGAUCAUCUGGCUGAUCUGUUAAUGAUGCUCAACAGAAAACAAACGGAAAUGUUUGCUCGAUGGCUUACUGACAAUGUGUCAGCAAUUGAGUUCCCAGGGCAUGGUGUGAGUCAGAAUGCAAGAGCACAGUUUGUACAGAUGGUUUUGAGGUACAUUCAGUGGUGUACAGGAUACCUUCUGCAAACUGUGCUGGGAAUAGAGUUGGUAGUAAAGAAGUAAUAAAUUCAACUGUCUUGCCUGAUGUUGAAGUUGUACUGUAUGAAGAGCAGAAAUGUAGAAAGUGAUAAAGUUUUUUCCUUUCAUCAUUUUGUGGGUAAUGUCAGUGAGAAAAAGUUUUGUAAAUGUUUGAAGUUAUGUUUAAUUUUUGUUGGAAGUCACUAAGUACUCUCAUUGUCAAAUACUGGAUGAAUAAAAUCCUUUUAUUUUCACACCAUUAGUUAUGCUACCUCAAUACAAACACACAGUUUCCAACUGUAAUAUUUGUCUUAUCGUGAUAAAUGUUUAAUAUGCCUCUCAAUGAGUAGAUUAUGACAGCAUUUUAAAUUUGGCCAAUAAUUACACAAAAUAUUGAAAAUCAGAUUUAUGUUGCCCCUGGAAAUUAUUAGAUAGGCAUCCUGCAACUGGUACAGGAUUAUAUGCUAGUUGCGAGGUAUUACAGAUUGUUGUACUAUUUUAUGAAUGUUGAUACACUAAUACAGUGUUGUUACAUGCUACUGCCACAGUGUUAACAAAAUGUAAACUCAUAUUUUUCCAGUUCAGUCAUUAAUCUUUUCAGAAUUACAGUAGAAGCAGCUUAUUUUCAUGUUGCUGUGGAGAGGAGGAGGAUGGGAGUGGGAGUUUUGAUAUAAGGAAGUAUGUCCUCUAAUCAUGCAACACAUUUCAAAAGGAAAUAUAUUACUGUGAUCAAACUAUUGAUUUUGUUUGCUGUACUUACCAGUAUGCCUUGAAAUGUGGUGUGUACAUAACAAAAGCUGUAUGAAUAACACAGUUUCCAGCUGUCCUCCCAACCUAUUCCAUUUAACUGCACUAUGGCACUGUAAUUAAUAUAAAUUUAACAGUAGGUAUUACAUUUUACGCAGUAGCAGUACAACCAACUGUGGUCAUAAUUUUGUGUGUUCCUUCUGAAAUCAGUUGUCCUUCGGCAAAAUGCAGUAUUGUAGUAAGUUACAAUUUAGAAAAAAAUGAAAAGCACCAAUCGAAGUUAGCAUAUUUCCAAAAUAUUUUAAGGAUCUUAUAGCAUAUAUGUUCUGCAAUAAAUUUUUUAAUGUGAAUGUAUUUUUACUGUUUCUGUACAGGGAAAGAGCCAACAAGCGGAAGCUACAAGAAAUUGUGAGAGGAUUCACAUUGAUUUGCCGUGGCCUUGCUGGUACAGAGUUUGGAGGACAGUUAAUCAUUUUAUAAUGAACCAUUUCAUUGCUACAGUUUCUCAUGAUGUAAGAAAGAUGCAGCUUCAAGAGAUCUAUUUUGGAUAUACUGCAUUUUUAAAGAAAGAAGAAUGAAUUAUGUUUCUCAUUUCCUAAAGGUGCUUAUGUUGAGGACUGUUGUGACUAUUAAUGUAGAAAAAUAGGGUUGUUGUAAAAACAGAGAUAUUUGUGUGCUGGAUUCAAAUAAUAUUUGGUAUGUGCGUGUGUUUUAUAAUAAAAGUAGUGACAUUUUCUAUUGAUGUACACAGAAAAUAGUGAAAAAAGCGAUAUUAAAAAAAAAAGAAAACCCUAAGACAUUUACAACUAAAGACAGUUAUGAAUUUAUUGAUCUUUCUGUUGUUUUCCCUAUUUAGUGUAUAUUGUGUUGUGUUGCAAAUUUGUAGCAGUAGUAAUUUGACCAUUCCUUUAAUUAAAAUUAUUGUUUUUCUUAACAUUUUCAAACCAGUGGAUUCUGUUCAUUGGUGUGUUCGUAUACUGUUAAUUUGAAUUUGAUUAUCUUUGUAUGUUAGAUCUCCCUUGCUAGUUUUUAUGACUUCGAAUUAUGUCAGAAUUGUAGGAGUGAAUCACUUUUUCAUAAGCAUGUACCUGAUUAGCCAGUAGAGUAUUGCUUGCUUUUGUUCAUGUGAUUUAAAAUUGUUUUCUUUUACAAGUUACUGGGGAUUUUACAUAGUAACUGAAAACAUCCAAUUGCUCAUUCUUUGUCUCCUGCUCACUAAUUCUCAUUGAUUUCAGAAGAACUUUUACUUGUACUGAUAAAAUAAUAAUUGAAUUAUUUUUGUGCAUUUUAUAACCACUGCUUUUGUCGAAGUUACGGACUGUAGCAAAAGUAUUACUAGAAGAAGGAGAGUCCUGCGUUGUUUGUUAUUGAUAGCUAGGAUUAUCGUCCACUUCCAGAACAAUUAACUGUCUUACCCUUUAAUCCUGAAAAGUGGUGCUUACAAGGUAUUGCCAGUUGGCCAAUUGGGUCAGUAUAAAAAAGUGUUCAUAUAGGGUGACAAUUAUUUAACUGUAUGAAAAAAAACGUAAAUUAGUUAUAAACUACAGUACAGAUAUUCUGAUUUAGGUUAUGACAUGUUCGAUAUGCCUGUCAUCAUUGGCGAUGAUGUGCAGACAAAUGCGAAAUUGUGCAUGACCCGCUGAGGUGUCAGAACAUUGAUGCUGUCGAUGACCUCCUGAAUGGCUAUAUCAGCUGAGCAAUGAUUUUCGGGUUAUUGCUGUACACCUUGUCUUAAUAUAGCCCCACUAAAAGAAGUCUCAUGUGUUCAGAUCCGGAGAAUAUGGCAGCCAAUCGAGCCGUGCCAGUGGCCCCCAGGUACCCCAGAGCCGGAAUGUGGUUCCCAAAGUGCUCUGCCAGGACAUCAAACACUCUACUCCUUUGGUGGGGUCGAGCUCAAUCGUGCAAGAACCUCAUCUUGUCGAAGUCAGGGUCACUUUGGAUAAUUGGGAUGAAAUCAUCUUCCAAAACCUUCACGUACCAUUUAGUAGUCACCGUGCUAUCAAGGAAUAUCACACCAAUUAUUCCAUGACUGGACAUUACUCACCACAAAGUCAGACAUUGAAGGUGAAGAGACUUCUCGAUCACGAAAUGCGGAUUCUCAGUUCCCCAAAUGUGCCAAUUUUGGUUAUUGAUGAACCCAUCCAAAUGAAAGUGUCCAUCGUCACUGAACCAAACCAUACAGUGCGUACUAAUUCCCAUCAUUUGUUGGUAAAUCAGUAUGGCCAACCGUGCAGUUUGAACAUCCUAACAAACUAUUGAGAAGUUAUGACAAGUUUGUUUCAUAUAGUUCAAUAAUUAUCACCCUUUUCUUGCAUGACCAUUUGCCUGAUGGCCAGACAUUCCAAAUGUUGGCAGGUGUUUACAGUCCACUGUGAUUCUUCUGAGCUCUGUCAAUAUCGGUAUGUUUUAAAAGCUAACCCUUCUUUCUUGCACAUUUGUGUAACUGUUUCUGACCUUUUUGCAGGAGAAAGAAUAUUGUGUGUAGCAAGAGAAUGUGCAUCAUUUUACAGACUACAGUAAAUCUCCAUUAAAAUAUUUGCUCUCUUCCUUUCUUACUAUGUUUAUGUGAUGUAUAUUUGUGGUCGUAGAUUUAGUUCUGUAUUUUAAGUCAAGCAGUUCCUCUGAAAUUUAUGUUUCAUUUUUCACUAAACGCAAAUCCUAUUCUGUUAACUGUGUUGUAUUUUGUUGUGGAUGUGGAUGUUUUUAUGAGGUGCAUUGUAUGUUUUGUAUAUCUUGCCUUUCCUGAGACUGAAUUUAUGUGUAACACAAUAAUAAAGUGUGAGAAUAAUGCCUUUCUCCCAGCAUCAGGGCUUGGGUUGAAAAUUGGCAUAAAAUCUGAAAUCAUUAUGUUUAAAUUGUUUUAUCAGUCAAAUCUUCUAGUAUCAAACAAUUGAAAAUCCAGGAUGGAAUGUAACAGUAUUAUGAAAAGGAAAGUUGCUACUUACUAUAUAGCGAAGAUACUGAAUCGCAGAACGGUACAACAAAAAGACUGUCACAACUAAGCUUUUGGCCGACAGUGCUUCUGCCGAUAAUAGAUGACAGACAUACAUCACUCACGCAAAUGUAACACACACACACAUGACUGCGGUCUCUGGCAGCUGAAGCCACACUGCGAGCAGCAGCAGCAGUGCAUGAUGUGAGUGGCAACUGGAUGGGGGUAAGGAGGAGACUGGGGUGGGGAGAGGGAGGGAUAGUAGGGUAUGGGUUGGGGACAGUGAAGUGCAGCUGGGGAGCGUGCAGGGACGAGGUGGAGAGAGGGUAGGGCAGCCAGGUGUAGUCGGGUUAGACAGUGGACCAUGGAGAGUCCGGGGGGGGGGGGGGGGGGGGGUAGCGGAAAAGGAGAGAAGUAAAAAGACUGGGUGCAUUGGUGGAAUGAGGGCUGUGUAGUGCUGGAAUGGGUACAGGGAAGUUACUGGAUGGGUGGGGACAGUCACUAAUGAAGGAUGAAGCCAGGAGGAUUACGGGAACGUACGAUAUAUUGCAAGGAGAGUUCCCACCUACACAAUUCAGAAAAGUUAGUGUUGGUGGGAAGGAUCCAUAUGGCACAGGCUGUGUAAAGCAGUCACUGAAAUGAACGAUGUUAUGUUGGGCAGUGUGCUCAGUAACAGGGUAGUCCACUUGUUUCUUGACCACAGUUUGUUGCUUUCCAUUUAUGUGGACAGACAGCUUGUUGGUUGUCAUGCUCACAUAGAAUGCAGCACAGUGGUAGCAGCUUAGCUUGCAGAUCUCAUGACUGGUUUCACAGGUAGCCCUAUACUUGAUGGUAUAGGUGAUGUUUGUGACCGGACUGGAGUAGGUGGUGGUGGGAGAAUGUCUUGAAUCUAUGUCUAUUACAAGGAUAUGAACCAUGAGGUACGGGGUUGGGAGCUGGGGGUGUGUAGGGAUGGACGAGUAUAUUGUGUAGGUUUGGUGAAUGGCGGAAUACCACUGUGGGAGAGGUGGGAAGGAUAGUGGGCAGGACAUUUCUCAUUUCAGGCCGUGACGAAAGGUAGUCGAAACUCACUGCUGCAUUCUAUGUGGGCAUGACAACCAACAAGCUGUCUGUCCGCAUGAAUGGCCACCGUGCCACCAAUGCACCCAGUCUUUUUACUUCUCUCCUUUUCUGCUACCCUCCCCCUCAGCCUCUCCCCUGCCCUCCGUCCAACCUGACUGCACUGUCCCUGCAUGCUACCCAGCAGUGCUUCAUGGUCCCCCCACCCCUAUCCUACUAUCCCUCCCCCUCCACACACCAUCCUUACCCCUACCCAUUUACCACUCCUGUCAUGCACUGCUGCUGCUGCUCACAGUGUGGCUUCAGUUGUGUAUGUGUGUCGUGUCUGCAUGAGUGGUAUAUGUGUCUGUCGUCUAUUUUCGACAAAGGCAUCGUUGGUCGAAAGCUUAGUUGUGACAGUCUUUUUGUGUGCUUAUCUGCAACUCAGCAUUUCCACUAUAUACUGAGUAGCAACUUUCCUUUUCAUGAAAUCUUCUGAUAUACUGGGCACAUAUGCAGGUAUCUAUUACAUCAUUUCAUUAUCAUGGUUUUUAAAAUUAUUAGUGAAUGACAGUUGCAGAGACUAUGUGCAUACAUUUAUUUGAAUGCUGAGAAAUCUGUAGAAAAGUACUCCAUUUGGAUCGUGUAGUGCAGUUGUACAUUUUUUUUAUUGUUGUUUUCUGAAAAGAAUUGCAAAUUUCAGUGACAGGAAAUGAGCAUGCUGAAUCUUGUGUGUAAAUGAGUUUAAAAAAGAGUCUUGCUGUAGCUGGAAACUCAUUGGUGAAGCACUUAUGAAUACCAGCAACAAAAUAUCGUUCAAAUUUGCCACUUGUUCAUAGAAUAAUUCCUAUACUAAGACAUGAAAAAUAUAGAACUCUGAAUGGUAUACUUGUAAUACCACAGCAUUUGCAGUUCCUUGUUUUUCAUGUUCACAAUUAUUUGUACUUCAUUUCUCCAUCUGUGACUCCUGAACAAAGACGUAGUAAUGCUUUGCUUGCUGUAACUGUUGUGUGUUGUGUGUUAAUUAACAGUAGACAGUUUAUAUUCAUAUCUGUCACACUCGUUGCCUUCUUUCCAUAGAGGAGGAGGAAAAUGAAAGCAGGGAGUGAGGAAGGAAGGAAGUGGAAUGUGUGCUAUCUGGUUUCAUAACGUUUCCUAUUGUCAUGAAAAUAAAAAUGUAUGGAAAAUUAGUUAAAAUUAAUAGCUCAAUGUAAUUCCACUGAUAACCUAACGUUUAUUCUGUCUUUGAGUGGCCGUACUUGGAUGUACAUACUUAACUAUUUCUAUUUUGAUCAACAUUUGCAAGAAAAUCUGUAGUACUGAUGUUUUUACAGUGUCAGGCAGUAAAUUACUGAUAUUGACAGUUUUUGUACUUUUUGUAACUAUAAAAUGUUCUUAACCUAAAAUAGUGGAUAUUAUUAAGUCGUGUAUUUAUUUUGAUAUGUCUUUUUUGAUGUGUCUAUAAUACAAUUUGUUAAUGUAUGACAGACGUUAAUGAAAGUUUUAAAAUUAUUCACAGUAUGUUAACAUAUGCUUUUGUAAGUGGCAGUCAGUGUCAAGUAUCUGAAUACCUUCAUACAAAAUAUAUUCCUGGGACAAAUAGCGGUUAUUAACCAAGUGUGAUAAGCUUUCGUGUCUAAAGAGUUGACCAUUACAUCAUAAAAUGAUCUUUGUGUUUAGUACAAUCUUGGGACUAGUUUAAAUGGUGCAUAUACAAGCUAACUCAAUGCCAACUCAUGCAUGUAUUAAAAAAUGUGCUGCAUGAAGUACCUGUUAAAUUCCAGUGAAAUAAAAAUAGUUUGUAGACGUGUGAAGUAACUGCUUAAAAGCAUGUUAACAAGGAUAAAGGUGUAGUUCCAUGUAUUCUCAGUGUCAUCUUCCUUCCCCAGUGGUAUGAAACUUUAAUG
RNA transcript from Schistocerca gregaria, 9785 nucleotides. It is a transcript of the gene named importin-13, with no coding region annotated. The transcript has 18 exons. The record is from RefSeq and is a predicted model, not a curated record. NCBI's taxonomy places the organism in Eukaryota, Metazoa, Arthropoda, Insecta, Orthoptera, Acrididae.